AAGGGGAGGGUAGUGUGGGGUGGUUUCUUUCUUGGUUCAUUUAGAGGAAGUAAAAGUCGUAACAAGGUUUCCGUAGGUGAACCUGCGGAAGGAUCAUUAUCGAAAUCGAAAGCCUAGGAGAAAGGGGGGGGGAUGCGGGGCUGUCGCUGGCCUCUUUGGCAUGUGCACGCGUUGGUCCCUCUCCCGCCUUCGAAGCUUUCAACUUCUCAACACCUGUGUGCACCCGCUGUAGGUCCUUCGGGACCUAUGUCUUCUCUUCCGAACUCGCAUGUCUACAGAAUGUGUAUGCGUCGCGUUGGCGACUGCGAAACCUUUGUACAACUUUCAGCAAUGGAUCUCUUGGCUCUCGCAUCGAUGAAGAACGCAGCGAAUCGCGAUAAGUAAUGUGAAUUGCAGAUUUUCCGUGAAUCAUCGAAUCUUUGAACGCACCUUGCGCUCCUUGGUAUUCCGAGGAGCAUGCCUGUUUGAGUGUCAUCGAAAUAUCGGACCGAAUGACUUCGAUGCUGUCGGAGCUCGGUUUCGGAUGUUGGGAGUGGUGCGGGCGGCAACGUCGGCUCUCCUCAAAAGCAUUAGCUGUGGGCGCGAGCCUCGCAUGGCACGGCCGCUUUGACGUCGUAAUGAUCGUCGUGGGCUUGGAAGUGCGUGGGUUGACGUGUCUCCACGCUUCGAAACCUUCUGCGAGUCCGUCCGUCGUCCGGACGGUCGCACGUAUCGAUGCUUGACCUCAAAUCAGGUAGGACUACCCGCUGAACUUAAGCAUAUCAAUAAGCGGGAGGA
Molecule: ribosomal RNA, 777 nt
Filed under: Scleroderma bermudense
Lineage: Eukaryota; Fungi; Basidiomycota; Agaricomycetes; Boletales; Sclerodermataceae
Description: eukaryotic LSU rRNA
Rfam family: 5.8S ribosomal RNA (bases 320-474)
Source: RNAcentral